This 465-nucleotide ribosomal RNA is filed under the name uncultured bacterium. Its description in RNAcentral is "partial 16S ribosomal RNA". It matches the Rfam family "Bacterial small subunit ribosomal RNA", at positions 338 to 795 of the family's 1533-position model. The record is from RNAcentral.
CCUACGGGAGGCAGCAGUGGGGAAUAUUGCGCAAUGGGCGAAAGCCUGACGCAGCGAAGCCGCGUGCGGGAUGAAGGUCUUCGGAUCGUUAACCUCUGUCAGCAGGGAAGAACGGUCACUGUGCUAAUCAGCAGUGCAUUGACGGUACCUGCAAAGGAAGCACCGGCUAACUCCGUGCCAGCAGCCGCGGUAAUACGGAGGGUGCGAGCGUUAAUCGGAAUUACUGGGCGUAAAGCGCUCGUAGGCGGUAUGUCAAGUCAAGGGUGAAAUCCCCGCGCUCAACGUGGGAACUGCCUUGGAAACUGGCGAACUUGAGUGUGUGGGAGGAUAGUGGAAUUCCAGGUGUAGGAGUGAAAUCCGUAGAUAUCUGGAGGAACAUCAGUGGCGAAGGCGACUAUCUGGCACAUAACUGACGCUGAGGAGCGAAAGCGUGGGUAGCAAACAGGAUUAGAUACCCGGGUAGUC